GGGCCCGUGGCCUAGUCUGGAUAAGGCACUGGCCUUCUAAGCCAGUGAUCCCGGGUUCGAACAGUAGCAGUUAGGGAUUAGUGGCUGGGGGUUAGGGACGUAUUCCCUAGAUCCUGGCUACUGAUUACUAACUACUACUCUGAAAAUCCCGGCGGGUCCG
RNAcentral lists this transfer RNA (160 nucleotides) under Thermoplasmatota archaeon. RNAcentral's name for it is "Candidatus Thermoplasmatota archaeon (groundwater metagenome) tRNA-Arg". The stretch from base 1 to 59 matches the Rfam family "tRNA". The record is from RNAcentral. Lineage: Archaea; Methanobacteriati; Thermoplasmatota.